RNAcentral lists this ribosomal RNA (253 nucleotides) under uncultured bacterium. RNAcentral's name for it is "partial 16S ribosomal RNA". It matches the Rfam family "Bacterial small subunit ribosomal RNA", at positions 524 to 776 of the family's 1533-position model. The record is from RNAcentral.
UACGGAGGGUGCAAGCGUUAUCCGGAAUCACUGGGUUUAAAGGGUGCGUAGGCGGGGGAUUAAGUCAGUGGUGAAAUGUAGUCGCUUAACGACUAACGUGCCAUUGAUACUGGUUUUCUUGAGUUAUAGUGAGGUUGGCGGAAUGAGACAUGUAGCGGUGAAAUGCUUAGAUAUGUCUUAGAACACCGAUUGCGAAGGCAGCUGACUGGCUAUAUACUGACGCUGAGGCACGAAAGCGUGGGGAUCAAACAGG